Molecule: unclassified non-coding RNA, 258 nt
Filed under: Melitaea cinxia (Glanville fritillary)
Lineage: Eukaryota; Metazoa; Arthropoda; Insecta; Lepidoptera; Nymphalidae
Description: misc RNA ENSMCXG00005002113.1
Source: RNAcentral
UAAUAUUAAAAAAUAUAUUUUUAAGAAAACGAUUACGCAUAUAUAAGUAUAGUAUUAUAAGGAAAUAAUAAUAAUAAUAAAAAACAGAAAUUGUACCAUACAUUAGAAUAAGAACCGGUCGGUGGACUCACGUCUCUUUUGGAGACAUUAAUAAGAUAGUCUAACUUGAACAGCGAUGUUGCUGAGUAACGCCUACCUUGAAAUAAAAAAAAUAAAAAUAAAAAUUGCAUGUUUUUAGAAUAAAAAAGGACAUGGGUU